Molecule: ribosomal RNA, 497 nt
Filed under: uncultured bacterium
Lineage: Bacteria
Description: partial 16S ribosomal RNA
Rfam family: Bacterial small subunit ribosomal RNA
Source: RNAcentral
GAUGAACGCUGGCGGCGUGCCUAAUACAUGCAAGUCGAGCGAACAGACGAGGAGCUUGCUCCUCUGACGUUAGCGGCGGACGGGUGAGUAACACGUGGAUAACCUACCUAUAAGACUGGGAUAACUUCGGGAAACCGGAGCUAAUACCGGAUAAUAUAUUGAACCGCAUGGUUCAAUAGUGAAAGACGGUUUUGCUGUCACUUAUAGAUGGAUCCGCGCUGCAUUAGCUAGUUGGUAAGGUAACGGCUUACCAAGGCAACGAUGCGUAGCCGACCUGAGAGGGUGAUCGGCCACACUGGAACUGAGACACGGUCCAGACUCCGACGGGAGGCAGCAGUAGGGAAUCUUCCGCAAUGGGCGAAAGCCUGAUGGAGCAACGCCGCGUGAGUGAUGAAGGUCUUCGGAUCGUAAAACUCUGUUAUUAGGGAAGAACAAAUGUGUAAGUAACUAUGCACGUCUUGACGGUACCUAAUCAGAAAGCCACGGCUAACUACGUG